AGUAUAAUUUUACUUCUGUGAAAAAUGCUAGGUAAAGCCUCAUGUGCCUAAGUCAGUGCACCUGCAGGUGGCUAAUGAAUGCUGCUCAGUCCUUAGCGGACAGUGGUGUGCAUGCAUGCCUCUGAGUGUGUGUGUGUGUGUAUGUGUGUGUAUGCACCAGGGAGGGAAAAGUAUGGGGAUGACAGGCCUCAAGGUGAGUAUUCAGAGAACAGCUCCUUUUUCUUUCCUAUGAUCAACUAUAAGACUUGCAGGUGACACGGCACAAGUACACGUCCACCUACCUCAAAGAGGCCGCCAUGCCUUGCUGAAUCCUCUCUUCAGAGAACAAGAACAGGUAGUGCCAUGGAAGGAAAGGAAGCUUCUGUAAAGUUUGCAGUACUUCUAAUUGGAAGGAAGCAAAGGGAACCAAAAUAAACUCAGCUUGAACAAGAACCCCAGAAGGAACAUUCAUGCUUUAAACAAUGACUUUACGCAACACUGUGAAGAGGGCAAUGUUUCUGUAAGAUACUGUUAUGAAGAGCUGAAUCCUGUGAGAAACAGACGAAUUUCUGGAGACACCACUUUUUUCCUCUUAUUCAUUCAAGGACUGUUCAGUGGAUGCCUUUCUGGAUACCUGCUGUGUGCCAGACAUCAGAAACAACAUCUAUACUUUAAUGAUUCUUGUGAUGCAGAGAAAGUGAGGUGGGGAGAAGACACAGGAAAUAAACACAUAUGCAAGAUAAUUUCAGAUAGUGGGAAUGUUUGGGAUGGACGAUAGCAGAAAGCAUGCUGCAAGCAGAAUCUGGGAAGGCCUCUGCAAAAGGUUGAUGUCUGAAUGGAGCCCUUAGUGGAGAGAAACCCAGCCUUGCAAAGAUGGAGGGAAGAGUGUUCAAAGCAGAGGGAGAAACUAGUGUGAAGUCCUGAGGAGGGACUUGGAAAGAACUCAUUUUGAGGUCACAUCUUGUACAAAUAACUUUGAAUCUCUGCAUUUGAAAAAAGGCUUGAGGGAUCCUUGUCCCUUAAGACUCACAGAGGAAAAGGAUUCUGUGUUGAAAUGACUUUUAGUAAUUAAAAGUGGGGUUAAGAUGAGUGCAUUUGCUGAGCAGACAUUUACUGCAAGCUCUACAGCAAGCCGGCUGGACUCAGCUGUUCCAAAUUCUGAAUAUGAGGCUCUAUGAAAGAUUAUAUUUUCCAAAGAUGGCCACAGUAAUUCUCCUAACCCACAUGCCCAUCCUUCAAUAUGACUUUGCCAUAUACAAAUUUCAAUAGAGGAGUCCAGCUUCCGUCCCUGGAAUCUGGAGGGGCUUGUGAUUAUAGUACAAGUCAUUCUAUUUGACAUUAGAGGCCAAAGGCAAUACUGUAGUCUGUCAUGUUCUAUUGGGUCGAUACUCUAGGAAGCUACAGUGAGGAAGCACAGGCUGCUAGGUGGAGUGGCUUCAUGUAGAUAACCUCAGCUGACCUCUCAACAACAUAUGGCAAAUCCUGGUUAUGUGAAUAAAGGAGACUCAUAUGA
Molecule: long non-coding RNA, 1492 nt
Organism: Marmota monax (woodchuck)
Lineage: Eukaryota; Metazoa; Chordata; Mammalia; Rodentia; Sciuridae
Exons: 3
Source: RefSeq, a predicted model, not a curated record